Molecule: ribosomal RNA, 115 nt
Filed under: Alphaproteobacteria bacterium
Lineage: Bacteria; Pseudomonadati; Pseudomonadota; Alphaproteobacteria
Source: RNAcentral
UCUGGUGAUUAUGGCGAGGGUGAAACACUCGAUUCCAUCCCGAACUCGACAGUGAAACCCCUCAGCGCCGAUGGUACUCCGUCUUAAGGCGUGGGAGAGUAGGUCAUUGCCGGAU